CUGCGCCUAGGGAGGCAGCAGUGGGGGAUAUUGCACAAUGGGGGAAACCCUGGUGCAGCGCCGCCGCGUGUAGGAAGACGGUCCUCUGGAUUGUAAACUACUGUCCCCAGGGACGAAGAUGACGGUACCUGGGGAGGAAGCUCCGGCUAACUACGUGCCAGCAGCCGCGGUAAUACGUAGGGAGCGAGCGUUGUCCGGAAUUACUGGGUGUAAAGGGAGCGUAGGCGGGGAUGCAAGGUGGGGGUUAAAUCUACCGGCGCAACUGGUAGUCGCACUCAA
Molecule: ribosomal RNA, 279 nt
Filed under: uncultured bacterium
Lineage: Bacteria
Description: partial 16S ribosomal RNA
Rfam family: Bacterial small subunit ribosomal RNA
Source: RNAcentral